AUUGAACGCUGGCGGCAGGCCUAACACAUGCAAGUCGAGCGAGCGGCGGACGGGUGAGUAAUGUCUGGGAAACUGCCUGAUGGAGGGGGAUAACUACUGGAAACGGUAGCUAAUACCGUAUACCAUCAGAUGUGCCCAGAUGGGAUUAGCUAGUAGGUGGGGUAACGGCUAACCUAGGCGACGAGCCCUAGCUGGUCUGAGAGGAUGACCAGCCACACUGGAACUGAAACACGGUCCAGACUCGUACGGGAGGCAGAAGUGGGAAGUAUUGCACAAUGGGCGCAAGCCUAAUGCGGCCAUGCGGGGUGGGUAAAGAAGGCCUUCGGGUUGUAAAGCACUUUCAGCGGGGAGGCGUUACCAACAAAAGAGGCACCGGCUAACUCCGUGCCAGCGGCCGGGGUAUUC
RNAcentral lists this ribosomal RNA (405 nucleotides) under uncultured bacterium. RNAcentral's name for it is "partial 16S ribosomal RNA". It matches the Rfam family "Bacterial small subunit ribosomal RNA", at positions 29 to 525 of the family's 1533-position model. The record is from RNAcentral.